UGGGGAAUAUUGGACAAUGGUCGCAAGCCUGAUCCAGCCAUGCCGCGUGAGUGAUGAAGGCCCUAGGGUUGUAAAGCUCUUUCACCGGUGAAGAUAAUGACGGUAACCGGAGAAGAAGCCCCGGCUAACUUCGUGCCAGCAGCCGCGGUAAUACGAAGGGGGCUAGCGUUGUUCGGAUUUACUGGGCGUAAAGCGCACGUAGGCGGACUAUUAAGUCAGGGGUGAAAUCCCGGGGCUCAACCCCGGAACUGCCUUUGAUACUGGUAGUCUUGAGUUCGAGAGAGGUGAGUGGAAUUCCGAGUGUAGAGGUGAAAUUCGUAGAUAUUCGGAGGAACACCAGUGGCGAAGGCGGCUCACUGGCUCGAUACUGACGCUGAGGUGCGAAAGCGUGGGGAGCAAACAGG
This 404-nucleotide ribosomal RNA is filed under the name Actinomycetes bacterium. Its description in RNAcentral is "Actinobacteria bacterium partial 16S ribosomal RNA". It matches the Rfam family "Bacterial small subunit ribosomal RNA", at positions 355 to 776 of the family's 1533-position model. Lineage: Bacteria; Bacillati; Actinomycetota; Actinomycetes. The record is from RNAcentral.